Molecule: ribosomal RNA, 337 nt
Filed under: Brachiomya stigmatica
Lineage: Eukaryota; Metazoa; Mollusca; Bivalvia; Galeommatida; Montacutidae
Description: partial 16S ribosomal RNA
Rfam family: Archaeal large subunit ribosomal RNA
Source: RNAcentral
UUAACGGCCGCAGUUAGUAGCUGUGCUAAGGUAGCGUAGUCAAUUGCCCUUUAAAUGGGGGAGGGUAUGAAUGGUUUGACGUAGGAGAGUCUGUCUCUUUAUUAUGAUAUGAAAUUUUUAUUUUGGUGAAAAGGCCAAAUUUUUAAAAUUAGACGAGAAGACCCUGUCGAGCUUAAUAAGGGAGUGGAAUUUUUUGCUCUAUAAAUUUAGUUGGGGCAACAGGGGGACAAGAUAAGAUUCCCUUGGUUAGGCAGCGAUCCAAAAGUUUUGAGAAGAGGAAAAAGCUACCGCAGGGAUAACAGCGUUCUUCCUUCUGAGAGAACAAAUUGAAGGGAGG